UCAUAUGCUUGUCUCAAAGAUUAAGCCAUGCAUGUCUAAGUGCAUGCCGAAAAUAAAAGGCGAAACCGCGAAUGGCUCAUUAAAUCAGCCGCCGUUCAUUGGAUGUUUCUUUAUCCUACUCGGAUAACCGUGGUAAUUCUAGAGCUAAUACGUGCAAAAAAGCUCCGACCAUUCGUUUGGGACGAGCGCUUUUAUUAGAACAAGACCAAUAACGGAUUUCCUCUUUCUUUUCUCCCGUCGAUUCUUUUCGGAGGUUUUCGGGGAAAAUUUCGAGGUUCCGUUAAUCCCAAUUGGUGACUCUGGAUAACCAUGAGCCGAUCGCACGGUCUCGCACCGGCGACGAAUCUUUCAAAUGUCUGCCUUAUCAACUGUCGAUGGUAGGUUACGCGCCUACCAUGGUUGUAACGGGUAACGGGGAAUCAGGGUUCGAUUCCGGAGAGGGAGCCUGAGAAACGGCUACCACAUCCAAGGAAGGCAGCAGGCACGCAAAUUACCCACUCCCGGCACGGGGAGGUAGUGACGAAAAAUAACAAUACGGGACUCUUCCGAGGCCCCGUAAUUGGAAUGAGUACACUUUAAAUCCUUUAACGAGGAUCGAUUGGAGGGCAAGUCUGGUGCCAGCAGCCGCGGUAAUUCCAGCUCCAAUAGCGUAUAUUAAAGUUGUUGCGGUUAAAAAGCUCGUAGUUGGAUCUCGGUGCCGGACCGGCGGUCCGCUCUCUUUAAUUAGGGGCGGUUUUUACUGCCGGCUCCGGAGCCAACCCGACCGGUUCGUCCCUUGGUGCUCUUCGCCGAGUGUCUCGGGUGACCGGAACGUUUACUUUGAACAAAUUAGAGUGCUCCGAGCAGGCGUUCGCGCGCCCGCAUAACCCAGCAUGGAAUAAUGGAACAGGACCUCGGUUCUAUUCUGUUGGUUUUUUCGGAAUCCGAGGUAAUGAUUAAUAGGGACAGACGGGGGCAUUCGUAUUGCGACGCUAGAGGUGAAAUUCUUGGACCGUCGCAAGACGAACUACUGCGAAAGCAUUUGCCAAGAAUGUUUUCAUUAAUCAAGAACGAAAGUUAGAGGUUCGAAGGCGAUCAGAUACCGCCCUAGUUCUAACCAUAAACGAUGCCGACCAGCGAUCCGCCGGAGUUCCUCCGAUGACUCGGCGGGCAGCUUCCCGGGAAACCAAAGUGUUUGGGUUCCGGGGGAAGUAUGGUUGCAAAGCUGAAACUUAAAGGAAUUGACGGAAGGGCACCACCAGGAGUGGAGCCUGCGGCUUAAUUUGACUCAACACGGGAAAACUCACCCGGCCCGGACACCGGAAGGAUUGACAGAUUGAGAGCUCUUUCUUGAUUCGGUGGGUGGUGGUGCAUGGCCGUUCUUAGUUGGUGGAGCGAUUUGUCUGGUUAAUUCCGAUAACGAACGAGACUCUAGCCUGCUAAAUAGACGACCGAUCCCGGGGUGCCGGCGCCUUCCCGUCUUGCUUCCGUUUUCGCCCCUCUUUCGUGUCUCGUUUUUUUCGAUUCGGUCAUUCUCAACCGCCCGAACCUCGCGCGCGUUGUCUCUCGGCUUAGCCGCGGAUCGAGUUUUUUUUCCCUUGUCGGGAUACCGUUUUCUCGGUCGCCUUUUCUCUCUCUUUCGGGGGGGAGUUGGGGUUGUCCGUUUUUACGCGUUCUGACCGGGGGGGAGGGCUCUUUNUUUGGCGACGGUCGCGAACGACGUCGUGGGGGGCUGGGUGGGCGGAACCCGGAGCGGGAUCGGGACUUCGGAAGGGACGGCGGCGGUCGUCAAUCGUGCGGGUCGGCUGUCCGGCGUUGCCUCUGUCGGUCGAUCGCUUCUUAGAGGGACAAGCGGCGCUCAGCCGCACGAGAUUGAGCAAUAACAGGUCUGUGAUGCCCUUAGAUGUCCGGGGCCGCACGCGCGCUACACUGAAGGAAUCAACGCGCGUUAUCUCCCGGUCCGGAAGGAUCGGGUAACCCGUUGAACCUCCUUCGUGAUAGGGAUCGGGGCUUGAAAUUGUCCCCCGCGAACGAGGAAUUCCCAGUAAGCGCGAGUCAUAAGCUCGCGUUGAUUACGUCCCUGCCCUUUGUACACACCGCCCGUCGCUACUACCGAUUGAAUGAUUUAGUGAGGUCUUCGGACUGGCGGUCUCUGCGGCUUCUCUUUACGAGAGUCGCGGCGGCCCGCCGGGAAGAUGACCGAACUUGACCAUUUAGAGGAAGUAAAAGUCGUAACAAGGUUUUC
Molecule: ribosomal RNA, 2224 nt
Filed under: Zelanion sp. GG-2000
Lineage: Eukaryota; Metazoa; Arthropoda; Chilopoda; Geophilomorpha; Chilenophilidae
Description: SSU rRNA
Rfam family: Eukaryotic small subunit ribosomal RNA
Source: RNAcentral